Molecule: non-coding RNA, 278 nt
Organism: Dermacentor andersoni
Lineage: Eukaryota; Metazoa; Arthropoda; Arachnida; Ixodida; Ixodidae
Source: RefSeq, a predicted model, not a curated record
ACCGAGCAACGUUUCAGACUCAGGCUUCCACAGACCCACUGUGCAAAGCAACAUGAACCGUCUGUUUGGAGUGGACCUUCUGGAGGUUGUCGCAAUCGUAAUUGCUUUGAUCGUCAUGGUUCCGAAUGAAGCUUCUUGCAUUUUCGGCGGUGUUGGAGGAAUCGGCGCUCCCGAUUUGUCGGGCAAGAAGUGAAUUACUGCGCAUCCUGCAUCAAGAUAUUCCACCCCUCUCAUGAUUUGCAUGACCGCUACGCCUGCAAUAAAAUGCCUCUUCAAGA